AUAAAUGCAAUGAAAGAGAAUAGUAAACAGACACAAGGUGAUAGAGAGCCAAUGGUUGGUGGAAAUUGGUACUGGAAACUGUUGAAUCCACUCUUAAGCAGACGGGGAAUAAGAACCCGAUCCGGUUGAUACCGUUAUCUAAUAGAAGGUCAUAGUCUAUGACAAAACAAGGUGGCACCACGUGAGUAUAGCUCUCGUCCUUGGC
This is a regulatory RNA element of 205 nucleotides. It matches the Rfam family "T-box leader". Rfam says of the family: Uncharged tRNA acts as the effector for transcription antitermination of genes in the T-box leader family. T-boxes are found upstream of many aminoacyl-tRNA synthetase genes and some amino acid biosynthetic genes usually in Gram-positive bacteria. The record is from Rfam.